GUGGGGAAUUUUGGACAAUGGGCGCAAGCCUGAUCCAGCAAUGCCGCGUGCAGGAAGAAGGCCUUCGGGUUGUAAACUGCUUUUGUACGGAACGAAAAGGCUCUGGUUAAUACCUGGGGCUCAUGACGGUACCGUAAGAAUAAGCACCGGCUAACUACGUGCCAGCAGCCGCGGUAAUACGUAGGGUGCAAGCGUUAAUCGGAAUUACUGGGCGUAAAGCGUGCGCAGGCGGUUUUGUAAGACAGACGUGAAAUCCCCGGGCUCAACCUGGGAAUGGCGUUUGUGACUGCAAAGCUGGAGUGCGGCAGAGGGGGAUGGAAUUCCGCGUGUAGCAGUGAAAGGCGUAGAUAUGCGGAGGAACACCGAUGGCGAAGGCAAUCCCCUGGGCCUGCACUGACGCUCAUGCACGAAAGCGUGGGGAGCAAACAGGAUUAGAAACCCGGGUAGUCC
Molecule: ribosomal RNA, 450 nt
Filed under: uncultured bacterium
Lineage: Bacteria
Description: partial 16S ribosomal RNA
Rfam family: Bacterial small subunit ribosomal RNA
Source: RNAcentral